ACGCUCGACACCUACGGGUGGCAGCAGUAGGGAAUCUUCCACAAUGGGCGCAAGCCUGAUGGAGCAACACCGCGUGAGUGAAGAAGGGUUUCGGCUCGUAAAGCUCUGUUGUUGGAGAAGAACGUGCGUGAGAGUAACUGUUCACGCAGUGACGGUAUCCAACCAGAAAGUCACGGCUAACUACGUGCCAGCAGCCGCGGUAAUCUGAGCGGGCUGGCAAGGC
This 223-nucleotide ribosomal RNA is filed under the name uncultured bacterium. RNAcentral's name for it is "partial 16S ribosomal RNA". It matches the Rfam family "Bacterial small subunit ribosomal RNA", at positions 328 to 539 of the family's 1533-position model. The record is from RNAcentral.